GAGUUUGAUCAUGGCUCAGAUUGAGCGCUGGCGGCAUGCCUUACACAUGCAAGUCGAACGGCAGCACGGGAGCUUGCUCCUGGUGGCGAGUGGCGAACGGGUGAGUAAUGCAUCGGAACGUAUCCUGGAGUGGGGGAUAACGUAGCGAAAGUUACGCUAAUACCGCAUAUUCUGUGAGCAGGAAAGCGGGGGACCUUCGGGCCUCGUGCUCUUGGAGCGGCCGAUGUCGGAUUAGCUAGUUGGUGAGGUAAAGGCUCACCAAGGCGACGAUCCGUAGCAGGUCUGAGAGGAUGAUCUGCCACACUGGAACUGAGACACGGUCCAGACUCCUACGGGAGGCAGCAGUGGGGAAUAUUGGACAAUGGGCGAAAGCCUGAUCCAGCCAUGCCGCGUGUGUGAAGAAGGUCUCCGGAUUGUAAAGCACUUUAAGUUGGGAGAAGGGCAGUAAGUUAAUACCUUGCUGUUUUGACGUUACCGACAGAAUAAGCACCGGCUAACU
This 499-nucleotide ribosomal RNA is filed under the name bacterium enrichment culture clone ALO1_GLFRUDD03HJOHK. RNAcentral describes it as "bacterial SSU rRNA". It matches the Rfam family "Bacterial small subunit ribosomal RNA", at positions 9 to 502 of the family's 1533-position model. The record is from RNAcentral.